RNAcentral lists this ribosomal RNA (253 nucleotides) under uncultured bacterium. Its description in RNAcentral is "partial 16S ribosomal RNA". It matches the Rfam family "Bacterial small subunit ribosomal RNA", at positions 524 to 776 of the family's 1533-position model. The record is from RNAcentral.
UACGUAGGUGGCAAGCGUUGUCCGGAUUUACUGGGCGUAAAGAGCGCGCAGGCGGUCGAAUAAGUCGAAUGUGAAAGCCCCCGGCUCAACUGGGGAGGGUCAUUCGAUACUGCUCGACUUGAAGGCAGGAGAGGGUAGUGGAAUUCCCGGUGUAGUGGUGAAAUGCGUAGAUAUCGGGAGGAACACCAGUGGCGAAGGCGACUACCUGGCCUGUUCUUGACGCUGAGGCGCGAAAGCUGGGGGAGCAAACGGG